AUUAUUGAAAAUGAUGCAGGUCGAUAUGAUGCUGAGAGCACUUUAACUUUCGUACCAAAGAUGUUGGACCAUGGGAAACAUCUCCUGUGCAUGGCAGUUCUACCUACAUUAUCCACCACUUGGUCUGUGAAUGAUAGCAUGGUUCUAAACGUAACAGGAUUAUUGGAUUGGAUACUAUCACUCUGAUCUCAAAUGGCUUAUCAAAAUUGGUGCUUGUUUGCUCUUCUUGUUUUUGGCAAAGGCUCCCCCUCUACCAUGUCUACAGCCACGAUAUCUUUUCAACCAAGACAGUCGCUACCCGUCAUAGGACAAGAUUUUACGAUGGAGUGCACCUAUUCCCCUCCUUCGAAUGUUCGCACU
This is a long non-coding RNA of Lytechinus variegatus (green sea urchin), 360 nucleotides long. RefSeq lists it as uncharacterized. The transcript has 3 exons. The record is from RefSeq and is a predicted model, not a curated record. Lineage: Eukaryota; Metazoa; Echinodermata; Echinoidea; Temnopleuroida; Toxopneustidae.